GCAAGCUUAACUGGCUGUCUGAUACCUUAGUUCCUGUAGCUAUGAUCUGGGAAUUGAGCAUGCCUGAAGUAGGUAAUAAUUCUCCACAUUGUGAGACUACAUAGAUGCACAGGAUCAUCCAUGGCAGAUGCAAGAAUGAGCUUCAAUCAAAACUUUAAAUUUCCAAACCUUGUCUAACCCCCACCCCCCACCAUCAAUCAUAAUGGAGCAGACUUUUGAUAAAGAAUUCCAGUCAUGACCA
Octopus sinensis (East Asian common octopus) is the source of this 241-nucleotide long non-coding RNA. RefSeq lists it as uncharacterized. NCBI's taxonomy places the organism in Eukaryota, Metazoa, Mollusca, Cephalopoda, Octopoda, Octopodidae. The transcript has 2 exons. The record is from RefSeq and is a predicted model, not a curated record.